RNAcentral lists this long non-coding RNA (411 nucleotides) under Rosa chinensis. RNAcentral's name for it is "sRNA RchiOBHm_Chr6g0264431". The stretch from base 1 to 308 matches the Rfam family "Plant signal recognition particle RNA". Lineage: Eukaryota; Viridiplantae; Streptophyta; Magnoliopsida; Rosales; Rosaceae. The record is from RNAcentral.
GCCGAGCUUGGUCACGUGAGCUUAUAACCCAAAGAUGGGGGCAUUGAAGUGUUGGGACUUUGGUUCAGCAUUAGCGGGUCGGGUUCGGCGUGGCUAUAUUCUGACCCGCCCGUUCCAAGCAAGGAGUUGGGCUAUGUGGCUUGGGCGAAGGCUCUGGGCCUCAUGGUUCCUAGAGAGGAGGGCAAUGCGUGAGGCUGGUUUCACAGAGCAGCGAUCACUUCCCUCUCCUUACAGUGGAAGGAUAACGGGUCGGUGCCUUCCAAAUCCACUAUGGCCCCGCUAGGCUGCCCAUUCGAACCAACACUUUUUUUUCGAUUGCAAUAGUUAUUUAAGUUAGGGCUGGGCACGGGCCGGGAUCUUGGUAAUCCCGAUCCCGGGCUCGGAAUUAUUUUUCGGGACGGGACGGGACGG